Molecule: ribosomal RNA, 252 nt
Filed under: uncultured bacterium
Lineage: Bacteria
Description: partial 16S ribosomal RNA
Rfam family: Bacterial small subunit ribosomal RNA
Source: RNAcentral
UACGUAGGGGGCAAGCGUUAUCCGGAAUUAUUGGGCGUAAAGAGUACGUAGGUGGCAACCUAAGCGCAGGGUUUAAGGCAAUGGCUCAACCAUUGUUCGCCCUGCGAACUGGGAUGCUUGAGUGCAGGAGAGGAAAGCGGAAUUCCUAGUGUAGCGGUGAAAUGCGUAGAUAUUAGGAGGAACACCAGUGGCGAAGGCAUCUCACGAAUCCGCGAUUGACGCUGAUGCACGAAAGCGUGGGUAUCAAACAGG